RNAcentral lists this ribosomal RNA (400 nucleotides) under uncultured bacterium. RNAcentral describes it as "bacterial SSU rRNA". It matches the Rfam family "Bacterial small subunit ribosomal RNA", at positions 355 to 747 of the family's 1533-position model. The record is from RNAcentral.
UGGGGAAUAUUGGACAAUGGGGGAAACCCUGAUCCAGCAAUGCCGCGUGUGCGAUGAAGGCCUGCGGGUUGUAAAGCACUUUCGGUUAGGAAGAAAUACUCAAAUCUAAUACAUUUGAGGGAUGACGUUACUAACAUAAGAAGCACCGGCAAACUCUGUGCCAGCAGCCGCGGUAAUACAGAGGGUGCAAGCGUUAAUCGGAGUUACUGGGCGUAAAGGGCGUGUAGGCUGAUGUUUAAGUCGGUUGUGAAAUCCCUGGGCUUAACCUAGGAAUUGCAGUUGAUACUGAAUGUCUUGAGUAUGGUAGAGGAAAGUAGAAUUCUCGGUGUAGUGGUUAAAUACGUAGAUAUCGAGAGGAAUACCGGUGGCGAAGGCGACUUUCUGGGCCAAUACUGACGCU